Molecule: ribosomal RNA, 510 nt
Filed under: uncultured bacterium
Lineage: Bacteria
Description: partial 16S ribosomal RNA
Rfam family: Bacterial small subunit ribosomal RNA
Source: RNAcentral
GACGAACGCUGGCGGCGUGCUUAACACAUGCAAGUCGAACGAAGAGCGAUGGAAGCUUGCUUCUAUCAAUCUUAGUGGCGAACGGGUGAGUAACGCGUAAUCAACCUGCCCUUCAGAGGGGGACAACAGUUGGAAACGACUGCUAAUACCGCAUACGAUCUGACCUCGGCAUCGAGGAUAGAUGAAAGGUGGCCUCUAUUUAUAAGCUAUCACUGAAGGAGGGGAUUGCGUCUGAUUAGCUAGUUGGAGGUGUAACGGCCCACCAAGGCGAUGAUCAGUAGCCGGUCGGAGAGGAUGAACGGCCACAUUGGGACUGAGACACGGCCCAGACUCCUACGGGAGGCAGCAGUGGGGAAUCUUCCGCAAUGGACGAAAGUCUGACGGAGCAACGCCGCGUGAGUGAUGACGGCCUUCGGGUUGUAAAGCUCUGUUAAUCGGGACGAAAGGCCUUCUUGCGAAUAGUUAGAAGGAUUGACGGUACCGGAAUAGAAAGCCACGGCUAACUACGUG